AUCCCUUUCAAGGAUAUGCGGUAAAAUUAAAACAAUAUAAAGAAGAUUAGCAUUGAUCCCUUGGGAAGGAUAACACGCACAAAUCCAAAAAUGAUCCAAUUUCUU
Lycium ferocissimum is the source of this 105-nucleotide small nuclear RNA. NCBI's taxonomy places the organism in Eukaryota, Viridiplantae, Streptophyta, Magnoliopsida, Solanales, Solanaceae. The record is from RefSeq and is a predicted model, not a curated record.